This 1365-nucleotide long non-coding RNA is filed under the name Zonotrichia albicollis (white-throated sparrow). RNAcentral's name for it is "lncRNA (ENSZALG00000000948.1)". The record is from RNAcentral. Lineage: Eukaryota; Metazoa; Chordata; Aves; Passeriformes; Passerellidae.
CCCUGGCAGCUGGACCUGGCGGAGCUGCAGAAGGAGCUGCAGAAGAGCCGCAGCGUGUUCCCUGAGAACCCCUCGGUGUGGGUGAAGGACCUGGCUGGGUACCUCAACUACAAACUGCAAGCACCCAGGAGUGACCCCGUGCUGAGCCAGCACCCUCACGACUACCCGUACUGCCUGGUGGGCAAGGAGCUCAGGGGCAUCAUCCGCUCCCUGCUGGCCAAGGCCUCCGACGUCCUGGAGCUCUUCUUUGACCACUGCAUCUACACCAUGCUGCAGGAGCUGGACAAGGCCCAAGGGGAGUCCCUGCACGGGUACAGGAUCUGCAUCCAGGCCCUGCUGCUGUACCGGCCCCGCAUCGCCACCACCAACCUGGGCAAGGUGAGCUGGCCUGGGCUGGGUUUGCCUGNUGUCACUGCCGUGUCUGGGAGGAUCCCCAAGGAAGCCUCUGAUGGCUGAACCUCCUCCCUGUAGCACUGGUGGGGCCCUGGGAGUCGCUGGCGCAGUUCUGUGCCCUGGCUGGCUCUGCAGAACCUGUCUGUCUGUCCUGCCUGUCUGUGUCUGUCCUGCCUGUCCUGGUCGUGUCUGGGCACGGAGGGUUCCAGAACUGGCCGAGGCAGGCUGGGUUGGGGUGAUGUGUCCCUGGGCUGGCAGGCAUUGCUGGCUCAGCUCCUCCACAUCCCCCUCGUGCCCUGGGACCUCCACUGCCCCCAAAUGAGGGGGUUCCCUCUGCAUGCCCCUGCCCUGGGUGGGGUUCUCUGCAUGGUUCCAGUAUCCCUGCACACCCAGUUUUGCCCACAGUGACAGGACUGUGUGGCAUUCCCGUCCUUCCUGGGGAGGCAGGGCAGCCAGAGCUGUCCCUGUGCUCAGGGGUCAGCCACUGUCACCUCACUGAGGGGGGUUUGGGACAGAUGUCAUUCCCUGUGUGGCACCAGCUGGUUUGUGUGGAGUUCCUCUCACCAGGUGAGGUGCCCAGGGUACCUGGCUCAGUGAGGCAGUGGGAAACCAAUCUCACAGCUCUGAGCCUUGCAGCAAGCCCUGCUGGAGCAGCCCCACGGAGCAGCAGGUGUCAAAGCAGGGAUGGUGGCAGUGCAGGAGGGGUGGGAGCUGCUGUUGCUGCCUGGUGUGGUGCUGAGGGCUGUUCAUUGGGUGGGUUUGGCUGCUCAGGGCUGUGUCCUCCCUCGCUGGGGGCUCUGGGUGUGCAGAGUGGAGCAGCCCCGGCUGGGAUCAGCCCAGGUCUGUGCUGGCCAUGGUUUGGGUGAUGGGCUCCCUGGGCAGGGCCAGCUGCCCCAGGCCAUGCAGCUCCAGGGUGUUCCAUGUGGGCUGGGAUGGAGCUGGAAGCAUUGCCCUCCAUGCCCCUUGGGACCC